UUCCAUUCUAGAGCUACAAGUUUCAGUUUGAAUCCUUGUCUGGGCUAAAGUCCCCAUAAGGGACUGGAGGUCAAUCUGGACAAAGAUCAAGUACUUCAAACCACAGCUGUUUUCCACGGCUUUUCUCACUUAGUUGAUUUUCCAACACUGCCUUUUUCAGAAAAAAACUGUGUUAGUACAGCAUGUCGAUGAAGCUCAUAAAAGGCUGUGCUGCAAUGUACUAUUCAGUGUCCCUGGGUAAGCCUGGUCUCUUUGAAGAGUCUUUGCAGGAAGGGUGAGAACAGUCUUCAGAUCAAGAUGCAGCAUGGAUAAAUAGUGCCUCUUUCUAGCCUAGUAUUCCCCUGUCAAAGGGAACCGUCAGAGAUGACACAAGAGCAACACCAGGAGGACUCUUCACAAUCUCAAAGGAAAACAGCUCUCAGGCCACAGGACUACAUCUAUAAAUCUUCAAAAUCCUGUAUCCAGGGCUGUUUCAUCUGUUGUAAACCUGGAGCUUUGCACAGAUGAACCAAGGAGAAUGCUGAAACAGUGCCCUACAGCUGUUGGUAACCAAAUGAGGACAAUGAACAUGAUUCAAAUAUCUGACAAGGAGUGGAAUAUGAAUACAAAGUUUGAUAAAUAAUAAACCUGAAUAAAUAUUUAAGUUAAUCA
Molecule: long non-coding RNA, 651 nt
Filed under: Parus major (Great Tit)
Lineage: Eukaryota; Metazoa; Chordata; Aves; Passeriformes; Paridae
Description: lncRNA (ENSPMJG00000014150.1)
Source: RNAcentral